Molecule: ribosomal RNA, 391 nt
Filed under: Borrelia sp. C385
Lineage: Bacteria; Pseudomonadati; Spirochaetota; Spirochaetia; Spirochaetales; Borreliaceae
Also listed under: 21 other names
Description: bacterial SSU rRNA
Rfam family: Bacterial small subunit ribosomal RNA
Source: RNAcentral
GAUGUAGCAAUACAUUCAGUGGCGAACGGGUGAGUAACGCGUGGAUGAUCUACCUAUGAGAUGGGGAUAACUAUUAGAAAUAGUAGCUAAUACCGAAUAAGGUCAGUUAAUUUGUUAAUUGAUGAAAGGAAGCCUUUAAAGCUUCGCUUGUAGAUGAGUCUGCGUCUUAUUAGCUAGUUGGUAGGGUAAAUGCCUACCAAGGCAAUGAUAAGUAACCGGCCUGAGAGGGUGAACGGUCACACUGGAACUGAGAUACGGUCCAGACUCCUACGGGAGGCAGCAGCUAAGAAUCUUCCGCAAUGGGCGAAAGCCUGACGGAGCGACACUGCGUGAAUGAAGAAGGUCGAAAGAUUGUAAAAUUCUUUUAUAAAUGAGGAAUAAGCUUUGUAGG